UACGUAGGUGGCAAGCGUUGUCCGGAUUUACUGGGCGUAAAGGGCGCGUAGGCGGCCAGCACAAGUCAGUUGUGAAAUCUCCGGGCUUAACUCGGAAAGGUCAACUGAUACUGUGCGGCUAGAGUGCAGAAGGGGCAACUGGAAUUCUCGGUGUAGCGGUGAAAUGCGUAGAUAUCGAGAGGAACACCUGCGGCGAAGGCGGGUUGCUGGGCUGACACUGACGCUGAUGCGCGAAAGCCAGGGGAGCGAACGGG
RNAcentral lists this ribosomal RNA (254 nucleotides) under uncultured bacterium. RNAcentral's name for it is "partial 16S ribosomal RNA". It matches the Rfam family "Bacterial small subunit ribosomal RNA", at positions 524 to 776 of the family's 1533-position model. The record is from RNAcentral.